GACGUAGGGCGCGAGCGUUGUCCGGAUUUAUUGGGCGUAAAGAGCUCGUAGGCGGUUUGUCACGUCUGCUGUGAAAACUGGAGGCUCAACCUCCAGCUUGCAGUGGGUACGGGCAGACUAGAGUGCGGUAGGGGAGAUUGGAAUUCCUGGUGUAGCGGUGGAAUGCGCAGAUAUCAGGAGGAACACCAAUGGCGAAGGCAGAUCUCUGGGCCGUAACUGACGCUGAGGAGCGAAAGCAUGGGGAGCGAACAGG
Molecule: ribosomal RNA, 253 nt
Filed under: uncultured bacterium
Lineage: Bacteria
Description: partial 16S ribosomal RNA
Rfam family: Bacterial small subunit ribosomal RNA
Source: RNAcentral